This 373-nucleotide ribosomal RNA is filed under the name uncultured bacterium. Its description in RNAcentral is "bacterial SSU rRNA". It matches the Rfam family "Bacterial small subunit ribosomal RNA", at positions 29 to 430 of the family's 1533-position model. The record is from RNAcentral.
ACGAACGCUGGCGGCAGGCCUAACACAUGCAAGUCGAACGCGUGUAGCAAUACACGAGUGGCGCACGGGUGCGUAACGCGUGGGAAUAUACCCUUGAGUGCGGAAUAACGUCUGGAAACGGACGCUAAUACCGCAUAAUGACUUCGGUCCAAAGAUUUAUCGCUCAAGGAUUAGCCCGCGUUAGAUUAGCUAGUUGGUGAGGUAAGAGCUCACCAAGGCGACGAUCUAUAGCUGGUCUGAGAGGAUGAUCAGCCACACUGGGACUGAGACACGGCCCAGACUCCUACGGGAGGCAGCAGUGAGGAAUAUUGGACAAUGGGGGCAACCCUGAUCCAGCCAUGCCGCGUGAGUGAAGAAGGCCUCGGUUGUAACG